Molecule: ribosomal RNA, 547 nt
Filed under: Lactobacillus gasseri
Lineage: Bacteria; Bacillati; Bacillota; Bacilli; Lactobacillales; Lactobacillaceae
Description: bacterial SSU rRNA
Rfam family: Bacterial small subunit ribosomal RNA
Source: RNAcentral
GUGCCUAAUACAUGCAAGUCGAGCGAGCUUGCCUAGAUGAAUUUGGUGCUUGCACCAAAUGAAACUAGAUACAAGCGAGCGGCGGACGGGUGAGUAACACGUGGGUAACCUGCCCAAGAGACUGGGAUAACACCUGGAAACAGAUGCUAAUACCGGAUAACAACACUAGACGCAUGUCUAGAGUUUAAAAGAUGGUUCUGCUAUCACUCUUGGAUGGACCUGCGGUGCAUUAGCUAGUUGGUAAGGUAAYGGCUUACCAAGGCAAUGAUGCAUAGCCGAGUUGAGAGACUGAUCGGCCACAUUGGGACUGAGACACGGCCCAAACUCCUACGGGAGGCAGCAGUAGGGAAUCUUCCACAAUGGACGCAAGUCUGAUGGAGCAACGCCGCGUGAGUGAAGAAGGGUUUCGGCUCGUAAAGCUCUGUUGGUAGUGAAGAAAGAUAGAGGUAGUAACUGGCCUUUAUUUGACGGUAAUUACUUAGAAAGUCACGGCUAACUACGUGCCAGCAGCCGCGGUAAUACGUAGGUGGCAAGCGUUGUCCGGAUU